CCUACGGGGCGCAGCAGUGAGGAAUAUUGGUCAAUGGUCGGGAGACUGAACCAGCCAAGCCGCGUGAGGGAUGAAGGUACAGAGUAUCGUAAACCUCUUUUGUCAGGGAACAAAGGCGGGGACGCGUCCCCGGAUGAGUGUACCUGAAGAAAAAGCAUCGGCUAACUCCGUGCCAGCAGCCGCGGUAAUACGGAGGGUGCGAGCGUUAGCCGGAUUUAGUGGGUUUAAAGGGUGCGCGGGCGGUCUGUUAAGUAAGCGGUCAAAGCCCGGGGCUCAACCCCGGCCCGCCGUUGAAACUGGCAGUCUCGAGUUGGAGAGAAGUAUGCGGAAUGCGCGGUGUAGCGGUGAAAUGCAUAGAUAUCGCGCAGAACUCCGAUUGCGAAGGCAGCAUGCCGGCUCCACACUGACGCUGAGGCACGAAAGCGUGGGUAUCGAACAGGAUUAGAUACCCUUGUAGUC
Molecule: ribosomal RNA, 459 nt
Filed under: uncultured bacterium
Lineage: Bacteria
Description: partial 16S ribosomal RNA
Rfam family: Bacterial small subunit ribosomal RNA
Source: RNAcentral